This 73-nucleotide transfer RNA is filed under the name Thermoleophilia bacterium. It matches the Rfam family "tRNA". From Rfam's summary of the family: Transfer RNA (tRNA) molecules are approximately 80 nucleotides in length. Their secondary structure includes four short double-helical elements and three loops (D, anti-codon, and T loops). Lineage: Bacteria; Bacillati; Actinomycetota; Thermoleophilia. RNAcentral also lists the same sequence under 2 other names. The record is from Rfam by way of RNAcentral.
GGGCGGUUAGCUCAGCUGGCAGAGCACCUGCUUUACACGCAGGGGGUCGGCGGUUCGAUCCCGUCACCGCCCA